GCGAGACUCUAAAGCGACGGUUAAGGGACAGGGGACGAGUGGAGCAAGUGGGCCUUAAUCUGAAAAUAACUUGAUUGUUUAAUGACAUUAAGAGAAAAAGAUUACGAGCUUUGAGAAGGAGGAAGCCUGGGAGUAACGACAGUUAAGGAGUUAGCUUGCGGAACCAACAUAAGAAUUUAUAACAGGGAGGUGUCGUUUGGGAUCAGACGCGUGGCCUGCAUUGCCGUAGCCACCGUGGUGUAAUGUUGCCACGUAAAAACCACAAAUCCCAGAAUUCAGUCGGGUGAUACACUGGCUCAGAAUGUGAUUGGCUGCGGGAACUAGUAGCUUCCUCAUUGGCUCCCGUGGAAGGAGUGAAUGCUGGGAUUUGCAGUCUGAUGGGGGAGCCGUGCUGGGUAAAAACCUUAGAAUCGUCGCGCACUCCGUUUCUGCCGCGGAUUCUUAUAUUCUCCAAUACAGGCUUUUUCUGUUAUGCAGUAUUUGCAGAGCAGGCUGCUGCAGUUUGGCCAGGCGCAUUGCGGAUCAGUUGGUGUUCUUGCCAGAGGCCUAGCAGCAGCUUCCUAGCGCUACUACUUGCACCUCCCAAGGCAGCUGAGCCUCCCCACUUCUCUGGCCAGACACACUCCUACCGUGCAUCGUAGAACCACCUCUCUGACGCCAGCAGGACCUUAGUAAGAGUAAUGGGUAUGCGACAGAUGGCUGUAGUCAGGCCCUACUGAUUUCAAAAUAGCUAAAAGACUAUCUCUGUAGUUAGCUUUUGUGGCCUUGAUGGACCUGCAGCUGUGUAUUGCUCCCUCAGACGUACAAAUUCGUGGAGAUGAGUUAUGAAAGUAUUUAGUAUCCAAGUUUUUCAUCUGCUUAAUAUUUGGGAUUUUAAACACAAGUUUUGCCAGCUAGGGGUCAACAUCCCUGAAAGUGUUAGGGAUGGAGCUAGCUGACAGGCCUUUCUAAAAGAACAGAGAGCCUGGUGAAGAGAUGAAAAAUCAAUCUCACUUGAUACUCCUGUUAAAAACAACAACAAACCUUUAAAUAGCUCUCUACUAACACAUAACUCAAAUCCGAUCAAAUCUACCUGACCUUUACCAUUGUUUUCUGUAUUCAUCAACUAUUACUGAGUACUUCAAAGUCAGGCAAUAGGAGUUAAUAAAACAGAUGAAACUUGGUUUAGCCUCAUAAUAUGUGUUUAAAUUUCACACAUACCUCUGAUCUGCUCUCAUCGCGCCUGUAGUCACAGCUACUCGGGAGGCUGACGUAGAAAAAUUGCUUGAACCCAGGAGGCGGAGGUUGCAGUGAGCCGAGAUCGUGCCACUGCACUCCAGCCUGGGCGACAGAGUGAGACAACGUCUUAAAAUGAUAAUAAUAAUAUAUACGUAAUAUAUGAUAUUUUUUCUCCCCAGUAAUGCCAUAUUUCAUUUUACCAAUCUGCCAUGAUUAAUAUAUCUUUCAUCAAACUGUCCUUAGUGCUUCAGCCACAAUUAAUUGCCUUUUGCUCUGAAUAGCCUUUCCACCAUAUUUAAUGUAAAACACACACACACACACACACACACAAAGAAGCAGGUCUUUUUUUGUAUGUGUGGACCUCAAGGCCUCAGUCAUUUGGUAUUAUCAAUAAUACUUUCUUUUAGCCUGUGUCCACUCAGAAAGCAAAUCAUGGUUUGUCUUUUUCUGUGUGUAAAUUCUUUCACUUUUGAAUUUCCAGCUGAACUAUAAUAUUUGGAGUCAGAUUCCUUAAAUAUAAAUCAUGUUUACAGCCACUUACUUGGUGUCAUAGGCAAUUCAUUUUCAUCUUUCUCAACUUCAGUUUCUUCGUGGGUAAAUGAUGAUCAGGAUAUUACCUCAGGUUGUUUUAAGAGUUAAAUAACUCCUAACCUCAGGUGAUCCACUGGCCUCAGCCUCCCAAAGUGCUGGGACUACAGGCAUGAGCCACCACGCCCGGCCCAGCCAAAUAUGGUGAAACCCUUUCUCUACUAAAAAUACAAAAAUUAGCUGGGCAGAUGAUAAGGAGAAAAUAAUGAAUGUCAAAGGAAACGUAAUUCCUCCAGUGCUGGUUGUCUCAACUGCGAUUGUUGUGGUUUGGAAAUGUAUCAACACCCAAGAAGGCUCUCUCUUGUGGAUGUAUCACUUAAAACACCCAGAAGUUGUUGACGGCGGCGGGCAGAAGGGCCGGUGGUUUCCAAGCUGCUUCAACAAUGGGACCCACAAUCCUCAAGCAGAGGAAGAAGAAGACAUAGACAAAGAAAAAGAGAAAGAAAAAAGAAAAGAAGAUGACAAAAAAAGAGCUUCGGCUAUGGAACUGGUUUAAUCCAUACGAUCGCCCAGAGGUGCUGACGGUGACCAGCUGGAAUGAGCCGGUUGUGUGGGAAGGCACUUAGAACAGAACCAUCCUAGAAAAUUAUUAUGCCAAACAGAAAAUUACUGUGGGUUGACGGUUUUUGCUGUCGGAAGACAUGUAGAGUAUUACUUGAAGGAGUUCAUAGCAUCUGCUGAUAGGUACUUCAUGGUAAGCCACAAAGUCAUGUUUUACAUCAUGGCCGAUAAUCCAGGAUGCUGUUGAUAGAGCUGGGUCCUCUGCGUUUCUUCAGAGUGUUUGAGAUCAAGCCCGAGAAGAGGUAGCAGGUCAUCAGCAUCGUGGGCAUGAAGACCAACAGGGAGCACAUGUUGGCCCACAUCCAACAGGAAGUUGACUUCCUCUUCUGCAUGGAUGUGGACCAAGUGUUCCAAGACAAUUUUGGAGUGGAGACCCUGGGCCAGUCCGUGGCUCAGCUAUAGGCCUGGUGGUACUGGACACAUCCUGAGGAGAAUACUUAGGAGAGGCAGAAGGAGUCGGUGGCAUACAUUCCAUUUGGCCAGGGGGAUUUUUAUUACCACGCAGCCAUUUUUGGUGGAACACCCAUUCACUUUCUCAACAUCACCCAGGAGUGCUUUAAGGGAAUCCUCCAGGACAGGAAAAAUGACCUCGAAGCCAAGUGGCAUGAUAAAGCCACCUAAACAAGUAUUUCUUCCUCAACAUACCCUCUAAGAUCUUAUCACCAGAAUGCUGCUGGGAUUAUCAUUAUAGGUCAUCAUGCAGAUAUUAAAAUUGUCAAGCUAUCUUGGCAGCAAAAAGAAUAUACGUUGGUUAGAAAUGAUGACUGACUUCAAAUUGUGCCAACAGUUUUUUGAAUUUGAGAGAAUUAUUAUUCUGGCUACUUCCUCAGAAAACAAUUUUAACUUUAAGAAAAUAUUAAUGAAACACCAACAUUGCAAUCACAUACUAUCUCUCCUUGUAACUUUGAGCAUUGUAAUAUGAGAGAAUGAAUCUAUGGUAAUCAGGUGUAAAUUCCCAGUGAUUUCUUAUGUAUUCUGAAUUUGGGGGAAAUACUAUCAGCUGAACCAGAAAGAACUUGUCAUAGGCAAAGAUAAAGCCAGAAACAGGCCAGGCACGGCGGCUUAUGCCUGUAAUCCCAGUACUUUGGGAGGCCAAGGGAGUGGAUCACCUGAGGUCAGGAGUUCGAGACCAGCUUGGCCAACAUGGUGAAAUCCCGUCUCUACUAAAAAUACAAAAAAUUAGCCGGGCAUGGUGGCGCACACCUGUAAUCCCACCUACUCAGGAGGCUGAGGCGGGAGAAUCACUUGAACCUGGGAGGCAGAGGUUGCAUUGAGCCAGAUUGUACCAUUGUACUCCAGCCUGGGCAGCAAGAGUGAAAUUCCAUCUAAAAACAAACAAACAAAACUCUACAUGUGUCAGAUAACAUCCUGGAGAAAAUCAGGUGGUAAGGGAAGUGUUGGCAGCGAGAUAUGGUUGUAGGGGGUUAUACCCUUGAUUCCAAUGUUUUCCUGUUUCCGAUGGAUCUAAAGAACAUGGAGUUUUUAUUUGCAGCAGGGGAACUUUCAGUAAGGACACCGUUUGCCUUGGCAAUCCUCAAAAUACUUCAAGAACAGAUUGUUUCAGACCAUCUGUAGUCCAUUCUUUUCUCAUCAGGAUGUCAUUUGGUUUCUGUGUGAAAGUUUGGUGGAGAUUCCCAGUAGAUAUUAUGAUGGUGCAUGGUCAGAGUCCCAGGGAACCUGAAUGAACCAAGGUGCUCAAUGUGAAGUGAAAACAGCCUCAACAUGAGUGCCAUGAAAUAGCAAAGAGAGAGUGCAAGAGAGGGGCUGAUCGCUGUGGGGCAGUGCCACCUUGCAGGAACACAUGCCAUGAGGUUGGUGCUUAAAUACAUCAUGGAUCCAGGCACUGAAUGGGAGGCAGUAUGGGUGAUUUCCAGCUUGGUUGACCCCAUGACUGACAAACAGCAGGGACUUGAAUGGAAGAUGCUUCUUGUUUUGCCCAAGUUGUAUUCGGUCUACCAGAUUCUGCAACUUAUGUCUUCAGAUCCUUGGUGAGGAGAUAUGGAUGCUGUCAGAGAAGGCAAAUGCCUGCAGUGGAUCGAAGAGGUUUUCAAGGAGUUCCAUUUCCAGAAUGUGGCUUCAUCAGAGGACAAUGGAUCAUCAGCUAGUCCCACCACUUAGCUAUUCUGGAACUCAGGGUUCCUGUGCCACUCAUACCCCAACUUGGAGGGCUGACAUCAAAGAGUAAACUGAAGAAAUCAAGUAACCUCUCAUUUUUCAUCUGCACUAUGGAAGUGUAACAACUAGACGUGUAACCAGCAAAAGGGUUCGGCCAUUUGUUUAUAGAAAGGAGUCAAAAUAAUAAUGACAUGUGAAAGAAAGAGAGCAAGACUUUACUACUUGUGUUAGCAAGGGGAAGAAUGGGUGAAAUUUUAAAAAAUUUCCACUCUUCCCUUUGUGGAGGGAAGAUAGAGAUUUUUAAGGAGAGAGGGGUUUGGAAUGUAGGAGAGGAAGUGGGUAUGAGGUGGCACGGUUUGUUUUAAUGACUUAUUGUGAAUUGUUGUUUUAUUUGGUGAAGGCCCUGGUGUCAUUUUGGGCUUUAAUUAGGUUACAAAUUAAUUGCAGUCAAUUUUAUGGUCAAUUUUUGUUUUUUCUUGGAGAUGGGGUCUCACUCUGUCUCCCAGGCUGGAGUGCAGUGGUGUGAUCUUGGCUCAAUGCAGUCUUGACCUCCCAGGCUCAGGUGAUCCUCUCCUACCUCAGCCUCCCUAGUAGCUAGGACCACAGGCAUGCACCAUCCAGCACAGCUAACUUUUUGUAUUUUUUUUUGGUGGAGAUGGGGUUUCACCAUGUUGCCCAGACUAGUCUCAAAUUUCUGGGCUCAAGCAGUCCUCCCACCUCGGCCUCACGAAGUGCUGGGAUAACAGGUGUGAGCCUUUGCAUCUGGCCUGUAGUCAGUUUUUAGCUGGGAUUGAGUUUCAGCCUUGACUGGGGAGAGAAUUUUGGAGGUGUCUGGUUUGUGUUAGGAUUUGGCCUUUGACGUUUUAAUGGAAAUAUAUGACUAGAUAUGUCAGUGUGGCAUGUACUUAACAAGGAUGUAAGUAAAUAAAUAUGCAUAACGCAUGGGAGUAUAGUAUGGGAAAGAAGGGGAGUGGCGAUUUAUAGUACAUUUUGAGGCUGUAUUUUAAGGCAAAAGGAAGCAGAUAUAUAGUUUGUCUAAAGUUAUAUUUUGAGAUUGGGAGAAGGGAGGAAAGAAAACAUUUUGAGGUUGUAAAAUACAUUUGUAGUUUAUUUUCAAGUUAUAUUUUGAGGCUGGGGAGAAAGUUGGAAAGGAAAAAAAGUUUUAAAAUGCAGUUUGAAGUUAAGCUGUUUGGUUGUAAUUUUUAUUGUCAAAUUUUAUUUUAUUUGUAUGGAAAAUGGCUGCCAUAAUUGUUUUGGCUAUUUUUUUGUUGAGAAGGGGCAUAGUUUGGGGGUAUUAGAAUGGAAUUGAUUUAUUUGGAUUUGGAAAUAUUUAUGAGUAUUUGGGCCUAUAGACAAUAUUUAUUGGAGUGUUAUAGUUUGAGGUUUAGAAAGUUUUGGGGAAAGUCUGUCUUACAGUUUUACAUAGAGGGUAUAAUAGUAGUAAGUUUUAUAACACAGGGAUAUAUCUACCCCUGUAGGCCAGGCCAAUGUUAUAAGUAGUUUUUGUCUCUAACAUGGUCCUGACUUGAAUUAGAAUGUCCCCUAUUGAUUUAGUGACAAUGUAGGGUCGCACAUAGAUUUAAUUUUUUGGUGUAUAUUUUGUAGGGCUAUUUGAGGCAUUUUUGAAUUUUUUAAUUAUGUAGGGUUUUUAUUGUUAAUUGUAAUUGGAUGUGAUGACACGUUGGCUAAUAUAUAUAUUUAAUAGGCUGUAAAUAGGGAUAUGAAUAUUUAUGAAGGUGGCUUUAAGUCUUGUUUAGUUUAUGAGGGUGGAUUAGUUUAGUUAGUUGUUUUAUUUAGAAGGUAGUAUUGUACAUGGGCUAGGCCUUUUUAUGUGAUGAAGGCAGAAAAAAGUUUAUUAAGAGGCAUUUUUAUGGAAAUAGAAAAGCAAAUAUUAAUGUUGGAAACUAUUUGGAUGUUAAAGUACUUUUAGUUAUAGAGGAGGAAGGUAGUAGUAAUUUUAUUGAGUUUAAGUUAGAAAAAUAAAAGAAAAAAAUUGAAAAUAUUAGUUUGGAAAUUUGUACUCUAGAAAGAAUUUAGGAUUUAGUUAAAAUUAUAGAAAAUAAUAAAAACUCAAAAACAGUGGAUAAGACUAGAAUUUAAUUACAGGUGUAUUAUAGUUAGGUUUUUUUGAAACUUUUUUUAGUUUUUGUUUUUAUUAAAGACAAAUUAUAAUAGGACAAAUUUAUAGGCAAAAUAAGUUUUAGUUUUAUUGUAUUUGGCUUGUGUAUUUGUGUAAAGUCAGUAAGAAUAAUUAUUUGUCAUAUAGGCUUUUUUAAAAAUUGGCUUUGUUGGAACUUUGUUAUAGGGAAUUUUAGAUUAGAUCUUUUGAAGUUUUGAGUCCAGUCAUGGGUUUAUUUGUGUCUUUAAAUAUUUGUAUUAAAUGGGCAAAUUUUUUCUUUUGAGGUCUCAAGAAAACUUGGGGCUGUGGUUCCUGUUAGAAAGUGACACUUUUUAUUUGUUAUAGGUUAAGAAUUUUGUAUAGACACUGUAUAGACAAGGUAUGAGGUUAGUUUUUUAAGGGGCUUUUAUUGGCUUUAUAGGUUAAUUUUGAUAUUUUAAAGUAGUUUGUAAGUAUGUUUUUUAAAUUAAAAUUUUGGUAAAAUAGUGUUUUUAAUUGUGUUAUAAAAGAAAAUAGAUUUUUAUUGAAUUUAUGUAAAUAAUAAUAUUGUUAUAAAUUAAGUAUAUGUAUAAAUAGUUUGUAAAUUUUGGAGAGAUUAGCUAGAGAAAAAUAUGUCUUAAAUUUUCUUUAUAGGAGUGUAUUUUAUCUGACUGUUGAAAGUUGUCAAUAGCUAAAAAGAAAAAGUUUUUUGGACUUUGUAAAACAGAAGAAUUAACAGUGUUUUAAAUAAAAAGUUAUAAAAAUAUUUUUUAAUAGUAUAGUUUAUGUAAUUAAUUUCUGUUUUGUUUGAUAUGUAUGAACACAGUAGGUUUUAUGGGAGUCUUGAAUUUUUUUUAUUUUACUGGCAUAAUUUUUAAAGUUAUUAGAUAUUUGUAUUUAAGAGUAUUUAUUAGAGUUUUAUAGUUGAUUAUAAAAUUGUUUUGAAAAUAAUUAAAACAAUUGUGGAUGACAAAAGUUUUAAAGUAAUCAUGGUUAAAGCUUGGUUACUUUUGUGGCACAUAAUAACUUCAUAUAAUUAUUAUCGAUAUAUAUUGAAACAGAAUUAUAGGAAUUUUAUAUAGUUUUGGAAUAUAUAUUGACAAUAUAUUUAUGUAAAUAUAGCUUAAAGAAGAAAGUCAAACACUAUUUUAUCCUUAACAAUCUUUUUGUAUAAUUUUAAUACAUUAAAUGUUAAAUUGAUUUUCUUGGACUUUAAGGGACUUAAUAUUUAAAGAGUCGAUUAGAUUACAAGAAGGCUUAAAGCCAGGUAUGAUGGCUUGCCCCUGCAAUCUCAGCACUUUCGGAGGCUGAGGUGGGAAGAUUGCUUGAGCCCAGGAAUUUAAGACCAGCCUGGGAAACAUGGGGAAACCGCGUCUCUAUAAAAAAAUAAAAAAAUUAGCCAAGUGUAGUUGUGCACGUCUGUAGUCCCAGCUACUGGGGAGGCUGAGGUGGGAGGAUCACUUAAGCCUGGUAGAUGGAGGUUGUAGUGAACCAUAAUUGUGCCACUGGACUCCAGCCUGGGCGACAGAGUGAGACACUGUCUCAAAAAAAAAAGAAAAGAAAAGAAAAGAAAAAAGGCUUAAUUUAGAAUUUGACUUUGAAAAGUUUGUCAAGUAUUCUAGGCUUAAAUACUUGAUAUUAUAAAAUAAAUAAAAUUUUAGGUUAUUGUCAGUUAUUUAGUACAAGUGAUAAAUAAAAAAUAAUUAAGACAAAAAUCUCUACUCAUUGAUAGAGGGAGACUGUUUUUUAAAUAGGAUCCAAUAAAAACAGCAUGAAGCCAGCAUGUCUCUUUUUUUCUUCUUUAUUUGUUGCUUAUUUAAAAGGCAAAUAAAAAUCUUUUAUUGUUUUUAAUAUUAUAUGAAAGUGUUGUUUAAAAGAGAAAGGUAAAUUUUACUUUUGUAUUUGUGUAUUAUUAAUGUUAAACCCAAUUUUUAAUAAAACUGUUUAAUUAUAAUGAUUGUAAGGUAAAAUUUUUAUAAAAUUUUUAUAACUAUAAUUUUUUGUUAAAAAGUAGAUUAAUUUUUUGAGAAAACCCUGUUAUUUAGACACACGGUCCCAUAUUUUGGCCCUGGAUUAGUAUAUUUUUAUUUUAAUGUUUAAC
This 8681-nucleotide long non-coding RNA is filed under the name Homo sapiens (human). RNAcentral describes it as "non-protein coding lnc-GRIP1-8:4". Lineage: Eukaryota; Metazoa; Chordata; Mammalia; Primates; Hominidae. The record is from RNAcentral.